UACGUAGGGGGCAAGCGUUGUCCGGAUUUAUUGGGCGUAAAGAGCGUGUAGGCGGCCAGACAGGUCAGCUGUGAAAACUCGAGGCUCAACCUCGAGACGUCGGUUGAAACCGUCUGGCUAGAGUCCGGAAGAGGAGAGUGGAAUUCCCGGUGUAGCGGUGAAAUGCGCAGAUAUCGGAAAGAACACCCGUGGCGAAGGCGGCUCUCUGGGACGGUACUGACGCUGAGACGCGAAGGCGUGGGGAGCGAACAGG
Molecule: ribosomal RNA, 253 nt
Filed under: uncultured bacterium
Lineage: Bacteria
Description: partial 16S ribosomal RNA
Rfam family: Bacterial small subunit ribosomal RNA
Source: RNAcentral